CCUACGGGAGGCAGCAGUGAGGAAUAGUGGUCAAUGGGCGGGAGCCUGAACCAGCCAAGUCGCGUGAGGGAAGACGGUCCGAUGGAGUGUAAACCUCUGUAGGCGGGGAGCAAGGCCGGGCACGCGGGCCCGGAGGGAGAGAACCCGCAGAAGAAGCAGCGGCUAACGCCGUGCCAGCAGCCGCGGUAAUACGGAGGAUGCGAGCGUUAUCCGGAUUUAUGGGGUUGAAAGGGUGCGUAGGCGGAUUUUUAAGUCAGCGGUAAAAUGUCCGGGCUCAACCCGGGCCGGCCGUUGAAACUGGGGCUCUUGCGUGUGCGCGACGUAUGCGGCAUGCGUGGUGUAGCGG
RNAcentral lists this ribosomal RNA (346 nucleotides) under uncultured bacterium. Its description in RNAcentral is "partial 16S ribosomal RNA". It matches the Rfam family "Bacterial small subunit ribosomal RNA", at positions 338 to 681 of the family's 1533-position model. The record is from RNAcentral.